AUUUGGCAUAGUAUUAGAAGACAUGACUAUCAAGCUACACAUCAAUUUUGAGCUUAAAUUAAUUAUUGAAGAAGGAAAAAAAUGCUACGAGAACAUCUGCAUCAACUUUUGAGUUAGUAGUUGAGUAACAUCAAUGAGGUUUUUCAGAAUUUUUUUCACAAUUUAUUAGUUGGAUUGGAUUGAAUUUUUUUGAGCACAUAAAAGACUUAUAGUAGAAUUUGUAUUCAUGAUUUUAUACCAAGUAGAUAGUCAAAUUAGAAGUUAUAGCUUGCUAAAGCUCAUUGAUUAAGGUUAAGUAUCACAGACAUAU
Molecule: long non-coding RNA, 310 nt
Filed under: Physcomitrium patens
Lineage: Eukaryota; Viridiplantae; Streptophyta; Bryopsida; Funariales; Funariaceae
Description: long non-coding RNA (PPAT_LNC014370)
Source: RNAcentral